Molecule: ribosomal RNA, 253 nt
Filed under: uncultured bacterium
Lineage: Bacteria
Description: partial 16S ribosomal RNA
Rfam family: Bacterial small subunit ribosomal RNA
Source: RNAcentral
UACGGAGGGUGCAAGCGUUGUUCGGAAUCACUGGGCGUAAAGCGCGUGUAGGCGGCUAUCUAAGUCUGAUGUGAAAGCCCUGGGCUCAACUCAGGAAGUGCAUUGGAUACUGGAUAGCUGGAGUACCGGAGAGGAGGGUGGAAUUCCUGGUGUAGCGGUGAAAUGCGUAGAUAUCAGGAGGAACACCGGUGGCGAAGGCGUCCCCCUGGCCGGAUACUGACGCUGAGACGCGAAAGCGUGGGGAGCAAACAGG